UAAAGUUGCUGCAGUUAAAAAGCUCGUAGUUGAAUUUCGGGGUUAGUAGGUUGGUCGUGCCACUGGUAUGUACUGGCUUUACUGAUUCCUCCUUCUUGAAGAACUGUAAUGUCAUUAAUUUGAUGUUGCAGGGAAACAGGACUGUUACUUUUAAAAAAUUAGAGUGUUUAAAGCAGGCUAACGCUAGAAUACAUUAGCAUGGAUAAAUGAAAUAGGACGUUUGAUCCUAUUUUGUUGGUUUCUAGGAUUGACGUAAUGAUUAAUAGGG
RNAcentral lists this ribosomal RNA (268 nucleotides) under uncultured Glomus. RNAcentral describes it as "partial small subunit ribosomal RNA". It matches the Rfam family "Eukaryotic small subunit ribosomal RNA", at positions 605 to 877 of the family's 1831-position model. The record is from RNAcentral. Lineage: Eukaryota; Fungi; Glomeromycota; Glomeromycetes; Glomerales; Glomeraceae.